GUGGGGAAUUUUGGACAAUGGGGGCAACCCUGAUCCAGCCAUGCCGCGUGCGGGAAGAAGGCCUUCGGGUUGUAAACCGCUUUUGUCAGGGAAGAAAUCCUUUGGGUUAAUACCUCGGAGGGAUGACGGUACCUGAAGAAUAAGCACCGGCUAACUACGUGCCAGCAGCCGCGGUAAUACGUAGGGUGCGAGCGUUAAUCGGAAUUACUGGGCGUAAAGCGUGCGGAGGCGGUUUUGUAAGAUCGAUGUGAAAUCCCCGGGCUCAACCGGGGAACUGCAUUGGUGACUGCAAGGCUGGAGUGCGGCAGAGGGGGAUGGAAUUCAGCGUGUAGCAGUGAAAUGCGUAGAUAUGCGGAGGAACACCGAUGGCGAAGGCAAUCCCCUGGGCAUGCACUGACGCUCAUGCACGAAAGCGUGGGGAGCAAACAGGAUUAGAUACCCCAGUAGUCC
RNAcentral lists this ribosomal RNA (450 nucleotides) under uncultured bacterium. Its description in RNAcentral is "partial 16S ribosomal RNA". It matches the Rfam family "Bacterial small subunit ribosomal RNA", at positions 354 to 796 of the family's 1533-position model. The record is from RNAcentral.